CACGUAGUUAGCCGGGGCUUUCUUCUCAGGUACCGUCACCCUCAGGGCAGUUACUCCCCAAGGCGUUCUUCCCUGGCAACAGAGCUUUACGAUCCGAAAACCUUCAUCACUCACGCGGCGUUGCUCCGUCAGACUUGCGUCCAUUGCGGAAGAUUCCCUACUGCUGCCUCCCGUAGGAGUCUGGGCCGUGUCUCAGUCCCAGUGUGGCCGAUCACCCUCUCAGGUCGGCUACGCAUCGUCGCCUUGGUGAGCCGUUACCCCACCAACUAGCUAAUGCGCCGCAGGCCCAUCUGUAAGCCACAGCUUGCACCGUGUUUCAUAACCGCAUCAUGCGACGCGGUUAGUUAUCCGGUCUUAGCUACCGUUUCCGGUAGUUAUCCCGAUCUUACAGGCAGGUUGCCUACGUGUUACUCACCCGUCCGCCGCUAACCCCGAAGGGUCCGCUCGACUUGCAUGUAUUAGGCACGCCGCCAGCGUUCGUCCUCGUAGCCACGGAGUCAACUAC
RNAcentral lists this ribosomal RNA (505 nucleotides) under uncultured Paenibacillus sp. RNAcentral's name for it is "partial 16S ribosomal RNA". The record is from RNAcentral. Lineage: Bacteria; Bacillati; Bacillota; Bacilli; Caryophanales; Paenibacillaceae.